Molecule: ribosomal RNA, 424 nt
Filed under: uncultured bacterium
Lineage: Bacteria
Description: partial 16S ribosomal RNA
Rfam family: Bacterial small subunit ribosomal RNA
Source: RNAcentral
AAUAUGGCACAAUGUGCGCAAGCCUGAUGCAGUCAGGCCGCUUGUAUGAAGUAGGCAUUCUGGUUGUAAAGUACUUUCAGCGGAGAAGAAGGGAGUAAAGUUAAUACCUUUGCUCAUUGACGAUACCAGUAGAAGAAGCACAGGCUAACUCCGUGCCAGCAGCCGCGGUAAUACGGAGGCUGCAAGCGUUAAUCGGAAUUACUGGGCGUAAAGCGCACGCAGGCGGUUUGUUAAGUCAGAUGUGAAAUCCCCGGGCUCAACCUGGGAACUGCAUCUGAUACUGGCAAGCUUGAGUCUCGUAGAGGGGGGUAGAAUUCCAGGUGUAGCGGUGAAAUGCGUAGAGAUCUGGAGGAAUACCGGUGGCGAAGGCGGCCCCCUGGACGAAGACUGACGCUCAGGUGCGAAAGCGUGGGGAGCAAACAGG